GGGCGGGGCGCGCCCACAGGUGACGCCGAGGGUGGGGCCGGCUGCGCGCAGGCAUCUUGGAGCAGGUAACGCGAUACCGGCUGGCGGCAGCGUCGUGAGGUGUGGCGUGCUGCGUCCUUCACCCACGAAUCUUCCAAGAAGACAGAGGUGCUGUAAGGAAAUCACAGCUCCCACCUUCCCUUACCACCACGUUCUUCACGGUCUGAUGGUGGUGCUUCCUGACAAACUAACCAUAAGCCCACGAAGGCAGAGACAGUUGGUCUGGUUCUCUGCUUUAUUCUAAGUACCGAAGAGGUGGCAGGCUUAAAUACUUUUUAUUUUUUAAAAGUAACUAAACUUCUAGUACUUUGUGAGACCAGAAAGCCAAGAGCACCCUGGACUCACCAGUCGGCUAGACACACGGUUCAUCAUGAUCCUCUCGGGAAGGUCCAUGGUGUUGGCAAUGGUCAGCACUAUCAAGUGGGCCCCUUUGUGAGUAGGCCAAUCAAAGAGGUUGUACAUUACAUCUUGUUUGUGAGUCCAAAGAAGGUCAAGCUGCCAAAGACAAUAUACAUACAAUGUCACUCAGAGACCAAGCCAGAGCACAUAAAGUGAUAGCCUGCACUACAGAGUGAGUGCACGCCCUGUCCACAUGGCACUUUCUAGUCCGUAAGAGAAUCAAUGGACAGGCUUCAGUUGAUACAGAAGGAGCCAGCACUUUUGCCUACACACUGUCUGCUUCUGGGAGAGUGAGUCUGUGCAGCCACUCCUCCUCUUGUACUCCUGGGGCACCUCACAGUGGGGCAAGUAGACAAUGCCACCAGACAGAAGGACUGGGUAAGGCCAAACAGGCUCAGACUCCAGGGAAUCUCAGAAUUGAGAACAGCAGGAGUGGAGCCAGCUCCCUGCCAAGCGCUAGCUGUUCUGGAGCAGGUAAGACACCCCAUUGAGAGGACCAUAGCAAUCAGUGACAUAGCAUAAAGCCCUGGAGUUCUGAGGUUUUUAGCUAGGCCCCAACAGUUCAGCUGAUGGGAUCCCCUUCCUGGGCACCUCUUCCCGAGAAAGGUAUUUAAUGCCUGGUUCACCCUGAGUAAGGAUGUAUGCAUUUACAUCCACCAUCAAAUAAAACCGUUUGGACAAGCAAAGACCACCUCUUCAUCAAGGAUUGCCACAGCAAAGACCUCUGCUUUAACACUCACUCGGAACCAAACCAGGUUCCACCACAGUCCUGGGCUCAGACACCCUGAGGGGAAGCUCAAGCCCCGUUCCCAACUCCCAGUGGUACCCAGCAGCAUCUGGUACACAGGAGGCUGAGAACCACGGCAAUUGUCCCAGACUCCAAUUUCCCACUCAAGAAAACAUGGACUGAGGAACCCCAUUAUGUACUGCGUCCUGCCCCCCUGAGCUGCUUGCCGGCUCCCCAACAUGGCUUGGGCAUCCCGGCAGUGAGGCAGACGAGUACCCCGGAACCUCACCUCAUCCACGAGCAGUACAGUGGUUUCCUUCUGGGACCCUUGGCCACAGAAUUGCUUCGCCAGCAGUUCUGCUGCAUGAUUGGCUGUUGCCUUCUGGCCUGUCAGUUUCUGCACAAGGGAAAAGCAACUGCUGUAGUAAAGAGUAAUGAGUCUACAAGAAGAAGCUACUCAUUUCCUAUACCCUGCCUCUAACUCUAGUCCCUUUACCUAGCGGGAUAUUAUCUGUUCAAAGGUUACCAGUGAAUGAAAGAACAAGGCUUACAUUCAAAUCCAAGACACUCUCCACGCCAUCUGUGAGCUAGGGGCUCCUUCCAUGUUGGCAUGUAAUCACUAACCUCUAAAAAGUCUGCCUGCCUCACCUUUGCCACCUCUGGAUAAAUUUGUGAAGUGCACAUAAAAUUAAGUAAUUCUUUCCUUUUC
Molecule: long non-coding RNA, 1874 nt
Organism: Mus musculus (house mouse)
Lineage: Eukaryota; Metazoa; Chordata; Mammalia; Rodentia; Muridae
Product: predicted gene 12743
Exons: 3
Source: RefSeq, a predicted model, not a curated record